ACCUAUUAUAACGAGCGCUGUCAGAGCAGACAAAGAAACGCUAUUAUACAUGACUCAUAGCGUUUUCCGUCUGCUAUUACUACCCACAUUUCCUGUAGUGAGGGUUAGAAUUUACUCUAGUGGCGGUGGAAGAGAGCCAAUCGUUGGGGUGUGGUUUUGAUCGUCGGUCUCCCUAUUUUAUUUUCCCGGUGGUCAUCUAUGGCUCUGGUGGUCUUUUUGACUCGGUUAAGGUCGGUGUUAGCUUCCCGGUGGUAGCAAUUUUUCUGUUUUUGGCUCGACAUUUCUUGGUGGUCAUGGUGGUGAGUGUUUUAGCUGACAUGGUGGUCUUUGGCAUGCUUCGGCGAAUUCCUUGAUACUUUCUUCUACUUUUGUCUUCUGUCCGGUAUAUAGUUGAUUCGGAACGAUCUGAUUGUUAAUGGAUUGAGAUGUUGAGCUUUUA
Long non-coding RNA from Brassica oleracea var. oleracea, 439 nucleotides. RefSeq lists it as uncharacterized. The record is from RefSeq and is a predicted model, not a curated record. The transcript is spliced from 2 exons. Lineage: Eukaryota; Viridiplantae; Streptophyta; Magnoliopsida; Brassicales; Brassicaceae.